UACGGAGGAUGCGAGCGUUGUCCGGAUUUACUGGGUGUAAAGGGCGUGCAGCCGGGAAUGCAAGUCAGAUGUGAAAUCCCGCGGCUCAACCGCGGAACUGCAUUUGAAACUGUGUUUCUUGAGUACUGGAGAGGCAGACGGAAUUCCUAGUGUAGCGGUGAAAUGCGUAGAUAUUAGGAGGAACACCAGUGGCGAAGGCGGUCUGCUGGACAGCAACUGACAGUGAGGCGCGAAAGCGUGGGGAGCAAACAGG
Molecule: ribosomal RNA, 253 nt
Filed under: uncultured bacterium
Lineage: Bacteria
Description: partial 16S ribosomal RNA
Rfam family: Bacterial small subunit ribosomal RNA
Source: RNAcentral